GACGAACGCUGGCGGCGUGCUUAACACAUGCAAGUCGAACGGAAAGGCCCUGCUUUUGUGGGGUGCUCGAGUGGCGAACGGGUGAGUAACACGUGAGUAACCUGCCCUUGACUUUGGGAUAACUUCAGGAAACUGGGGCUAAUACCGGAUAGGAGCUCCUGCUGCAUGGUGGGGGUUGGAAAGUUUCGGCGGUUGGGGAUGGACUCGCGGCUUAUCAGCUUGUUGGUGGGGUAGUGGCUUACCAAGGCUUUGACGGGUAGCCGGCCUGAGAGGGUGACCGGCCACAUUGGGACUGAGAUACGGCCCAGACUCCUACGGAAGGCAGCUGUGGGGAAUAUUGCACAAUGGGCGGAAGCCUGAUGCAGCAACGCCGCGUGCGGGAUGACGGCCUUCGGGUUGUAAACCGCUUUCGCCUGUGACGAAGCGUGAGUGACGGUAAUGGGUAAAGAAGCACCGGCUAACUACGUG
RNAcentral lists this ribosomal RNA (468 nucleotides) under uncultured bacterium. Its description in RNAcentral is "partial 16S ribosomal RNA". It matches the Rfam family "Bacterial small subunit ribosomal RNA", at positions 28 to 507 of the family's 1533-position model. The record is from RNAcentral.